GAUGAACGCUGGCGGCGUGCCUAAUACAUGCAAGUCGAGCGAACAGAUGAGGAGCUUGCUCCUCUGACGUUAGCGGCGGACGGGUGAGUAACACGUGGAUAACCUACCUAUAAGACUGGGAUAACUUCGGGAAACCGGAGCUAAUACCGGAUAAUAUAUUGAACCGCAUGGUUCAAAAGUGAAAGACGGUUUUGCUGUCACUUAUAGAUGGAUCCGCGCUGCAUUAGCUAGUUGGUAAGGUAACGGCUUACCAAGGCAACGAUGCGUAGCCGACCUGAGAGGGUGAUCGGCCACACUGGAACUGAGACACGGUCCAGACUCCUACGGGAGGCAGCAGUAGGGAAUCUUCCGCAAUGGGCGAAAGCCUGACGGAGCAACGCCGCGUGAGUGAUGAAGGUCUUCGGAUCGUAAAACUCUGUUAUUAGGGAAGAACAAAUGUGUAAGUAACUAUGCACGUCUUGACGGUACCUAAUCAGAAAGCCACGGCUAACUACGUG
Molecule: ribosomal RNA, 497 nt
Filed under: uncultured bacterium
Lineage: Bacteria
Description: partial 16S ribosomal RNA
Rfam family: Bacterial small subunit ribosomal RNA
Source: RNAcentral